GCCACACGCUCCCCCACAGACGUCCUGACAGCACAGCCCUCACCAUGCACUGGAGCUGGAGAGUCCUCUUCCUGGUGGCAGUGGCUACAGGUGUCCACUCCGAGAUCCAGCUGGUGCAGCCUGGGGCUGAGGUGAGGAAGCCUGGGGCCUCAGUGAAGGUGUCCUGCAAGGCUUCCGGAUACACCUUCACUGGCUACUGGAUGCACUGGGUGCGACAGGCCCCGGGACAAGGGCUUGAGUGCAUGGGAUUCAGCAACACAAACACAGAAAAACCAACGUAUGCCCAGGGAUUCUCAGAUCGAUUUGUCUUCUCCUUGGACACCGCUGUCAGCACGGCCUAUCUGCACAUCAACAGCCUGAGACCUGAGGACACGGCCGUGUAUUACUGUGCGAGACACACAGUGUAA
This is a non-coding RNA of Hipposideros armiger (great roundleaf bat), 407 nucleotides long. The record is from the annotation of a RefSeq genome assembly. NCBI's taxonomy places the organism in Eukaryota, Metazoa, Chordata, Mammalia, Chiroptera, Hipposideridae.